Molecule: small RNA, 303 nt
Filed under: uncultured bacterium
Lineage: Bacteria
Description: bacterial SSU rRNA
Rfam family: Bacterial small subunit ribosomal RNA
Source: RNAcentral
GGCGUCCCUAACACAUGCAAGUCGAACGAGAAAGGGGAGCAAUCCCUGAGUACAGUGGCGUCCGGGUGAGUAACACGUGGGUAAUCUGCCCUCUGGUGGGGAAUAACCCUGGGAAACCGGGGCUAAUACCGCAUGACUCCGCGAGGAGAAAGUCGAAAGACGCCGGAGGAGGAGCCCGCGGCCGAUUAGCUAGUUGGUGAGGUAACGGCUCACCAAGGCCAAGAUCGGUAGCCGGCCUGAGAGGGCACACGGCCACACUGGCACUGAAAUACGGGCCAGACUCCUACGGGAGGCAGCAGUGGG